Molecule: ribosomal RNA, 253 nt
Filed under: uncultured prokaryote
Description: partial 16S ribosomal RNA
Rfam family: Bacterial small subunit ribosomal RNA
Source: RNAcentral
GCGAAGGGGACUAGCGUUGUUCGGAAUUACUGGGCGUAAAGCGCACGUAGGCGGAUUUGUAAGUCAGGGGUGAAAUCCCGGGGCUCAACCUCGGAACUGCCUUUGAUACUGCAAAUCUCGAGUCCGAUAGAGGUGGGUGGAAUUCCUAGUGUAGAGGUGAAAUUCGUAGAUAUUAGGAAGAACACCGGUGGCGAAGGCGACUUACUGGACACAUAUUGACGCUGAGGUGCGAAAGCGUGGGGAGCAAACAGGA